CCUGCCUACACUUCUAAAGAGAGGGACAUGAACAUCCUCACAGAUCUGUGCACACACUGGGGGAAAUUCCUCAAAGCAGAAUUGCUGCCUCCGAUCAGAUUCCCAUUUUUAAGGCUCAGGGUGAUUCUCCCACCUGUCCUCGGAACCACAGCGCCAGUUUCCAGGCCGGUGUGGAAAGGCCAUCUUCAAGGGUCCCUCAAGCUGGGCGGCUGGGAGGCCCCGCCCCUCUCCUGCAGAGAAUGGGGACAAAGCCCACCGCUCUGGCCACCGUGAGGACACACAUCGCAAUGGCUGUUCCACCUGAGCCAGGCGCAGCAGGAGGCGCUGGGGGAGGCCUGCACUGCUGGCAGGAUGGGGACCUCCCCCAAGACAAGCGCUCGGUGGCUCGGAGCUCGGAACCCGAUGCUGCCCGGAUACCGUUGCUGGCACAAAGGACCUCCAGUGUACCAAGAUGGAACCAUCCCCAGGCAUCGAAAAGAAGUCUCGGAUCAAGACUCAUGACUCCCUCACAUCAGAGCCUCCUCCUCCUCCUCCUCCUCCUCCUCCUUGCCCUCGGCCUCCAGAAACUCAGGCUUCUGUCCCAGAGUACCCCCAAGGACCCCACGUGGUUCACACCGCACCCCCAGCCCUGUUCACCAACAUGACCACGAUGCAGUCGGCCAUGCCCAUCCAGUUCUCGUGUCCCUACUGCGGGAACUACAUCAUCACGGUGACCCGCCCGGUCCCGGGGGUCCUCACCUGGCUGCUGUGCACGGGGCUCUGCUUGUUUGGCUUGAUGGACGUGAUGCACACCUGCCCUGUGUGCCAGCACCAGCUGUUCCGCUACCAGCGCCUGUGACCCCUGCAAAAUAAAUGUUGACCAGCGACCUUCAACCGCCCACGUCUGUCCUGCAGGGUCCCUCCUCCCCGCGGUGGCGCAGGCCAUGAGGCGUUGCCCACCUGCCCUUCCCUCUGCCCUCCUGUCCCCAGGGCAG
RNAcentral lists this long non-coding RNA (974 nucleotides) under Equus caballus (horse). Its description in RNAcentral is "lncRNA (ENSECAG00000055531.1)". The record is from RNAcentral. Lineage: Eukaryota; Metazoa; Chordata; Mammalia; Perissodactyla; Equidae.